Molecule: long non-coding RNA, 23373 nt
Filed under: Vigna radiata
Lineage: Eukaryota; Viridiplantae; Streptophyta; Magnoliopsida; Fabales; Fabaceae
Description: long non-coding RNA (VRAD_LNC000197)
Source: RNAcentral
GAGGAAGGAAGAACAUUAAUGCCGAAGCAAGUCAUACAAGUGAGAUAUACUUCCCACACUGGGCAUACAAUAAGCUUGAGUUGGAGAAUGAUUUGAGACCAGAUAUGGAGAUGACAGCAGAAGAAAAUGAGAUUGUAAAGAGGUUGGCGAUGGUGGGUUUAUGGUGUACUCAAACGUUUCCUAAUGAUAGACCUACAAUGAGCGAAGUGAUAGAUAUGUUGGAAGGCAACAUGGAUUCCAUACAAAUCCCACCCAAACCUUUGCUUUCUUCUCCGACUAGAUCAGUACCAGAGUAUUCCAUAUCCUGAAAUUAAGUAAACUUUAUAUUUGAUAAAUUUUUCGUCUUGUACUUUAAAAUGAAUCGUUCUAUAUUGUUGGCUCUUUCAAAUAAUCUAGAAAAGCAAGUACAAUCUCAUGUUUGACAUUGACCUGAGACAGUUACAAUAUCAAAUGGCAUAUUUAUAUGACUUUAAACGAUAAUAAGAUGUUUGUUGGUUGAUGGAUUCGCAGCUUGAAAAGAAGGAACUACAAGAAAAAAUUAAAUUAUAUAUCCCCAAAAAUUUUAUAUAAGGUUCGAAAUCCAUAUAUAACAUUUAGUUAUAUACCAUUUACAUACAUACAAAAAUCCAUAUAUCUAACUGUCAUAGUUAAGUUAUACACAGAUUCAUCAGUAUAUAAAUUAUAUACUGAUAGAAAGCUUUAAAACAAACUAAGAAACUUACAAAUACAAUAUUAUAUAAGGUUAUUGCUAUUAGUUUCAACUUUCAACAAAUGUAAAAAAAUGUAUAAUAUAUAAUUAUACUUAAAACAAAUAAUUAAAACAUAAAAAUUUUAUUGAAGGACUCUAUAAAUAGAGUUCAAAACAAAUCGGUCCCUGUACAAUAUAGAAUAUAGAAUUGAAUAUUAACUAAAUUAUAAUUUACACCUAAAAUAGAAUCAAGCUCUAAUCAAAAAGAAAACAAUUGCUGCUAGCUCUACAAAUGUUGCACAAAAAAUUAUUGGGUGGAAGACCUUCUUCAAGCUUGAUGGAAUCUGAAAACAAAUGAAGGGAUAAGAAAUGACAUAACUACAAUAGACUUAGAUUGCUUGUCAUUAGAAAAAAAACUAGUUAAAAAAAUUUCAAAUAGAUCUAUUUGUCUUAAUGUAUAAUAUUUCAAAUAGAUAUAAACACAUGGCAGAUAGAAUAAAACAUUUAAGGUAUAAAUUUGUAAUUCCUAUGCUUCAUCACCCUAAAAUGGGCAACUUUUACAUAGUUCCAAAAAGAAGCACAACUAGGAUUAGAACAGAUGAUACAACCUACGUUUUAUUAGUGGUUGAUCAAUGAAUAGCAAAGCCCUAUGAAAAUACUACACCUCAUCAUCAUUAUAAAACUAUAGAUAUUUAUAUGUUACUUAUUAUUGACUCAGCCCAUGUUAAAUAAAAUCAACAUUGCAUGUUAAAUAAUAACAUAGCCUUAUGGAAACAAUCCUUUUUUUUAGUUGUAAGUUUUCAGAAAAAUAAAAGGUUAAUUUCAUACCUCUUGCACUUUUCCUUUCCUUCUCUUUGUUUCCUGGUUGCGCCUUUCUCCAUGACAGAGCAAGUUCUGAAAAUAUAUCAUACUUGUUAUGCCUUAUAUAAUAAAAGUCCAACAAAGCUUUAAAAUGAAAAUAUUAUAGGUAGAAUUCAUUAAGACAUUGAAAUAAAAAAUAAUACUCAAGAAAGAUGGAUAAAUUGAUAAUGUCAUUUAGAGGAUACGAGUGGACAACUAAAAUGGAGAAAGGUUUUUGAAAGUUAAUUGAGAUCACAAAAUACAUAAAAAACUCAAGUUCUAUAAUACUGAUAUAGAUCAUUUAUACUAAGAGUGUUCAUCAACGAAUCCAAUACAACAUUGUGGUAAUUAGAUUGAAAUUAAAAAGCAAAAGGAAUAAAAAAAGUCUUUUUUCAUGAGACUAUUAUGAACUUGUUACCAAAGAGGAGCAUUGGCAUCUUGAAGCUACUGUGAGGUUUUGAUGAUGAUAAAAGCUGAAAAAUUGAAGACUCUAAGUGCAUUUUUGUUAAACGCAUUUUGUAGAACAAAUGUAUAGGAUAAAUUGUAAUGAUGUAAAAAGUCUUAGGAGUUUUCGUAUUUAGUGAGUCACUGCGUAAAUAAUCGAUUAUCAAGGGUGAUAAUCGAUUAUCACGAGCCAGUUUAGGAGAGAGUUGCUCGCGCAAAUAAUCUAUUAUUACACAGAAUAAUCGAUUAUCAUUGUUUGAUUUAAUACUGCCCAAGUCUCUGGAAUAAUCGAUUAUUCCUCAGGAUAAUCGAUUAUCACAUUUUGAAAACUCCAUAACGGACAUAUAUAAUCGAUUAUCACUUACGAUAAUAGAUUAUUUCUGGCAGUUGGGAGAUGUCUUUUCAGUUUCUGACCCUGGACUUAUAAAUAGAUUUUUCCACUCCUCUUAGAAAGUAACUUUUCAUUUGAGAGUAUUAGAGCUUUAUGCCUAAGGGAAGCUCUCUGUGAGUGAAAAGGAUCUAUGCCAUUUUGGGAAUACUGUUUGUCUGAGGAAGUUCUCAAAGUGAUAAAGUGUUCUUGCCUGGUCUUGUGAAUAGGAGAAGCUCGCGCUUUGUGUGUUAAAGGUCAGAGUGGUUCUCUUCAAGUUGGCAGAGCUGAUGUUUCCGGUUCGUGCGUCGAAGGAAGCUCUUCCGGUUCGUUUGUCGAAGGAAGUUUCUUGCUGCAUUCUUCUGGUUCGUUUGUCGAAGGAAGGUGUUUUCUAUUCUUUGCUCAUUUCAUUAUCUUGUAAUCUAUUCCGGUGUAUGUUCGAUUCAUCCAUGUGCCCCUUCCACUAGAAGCCUGCCAGGAGCCGCUCCUUGUCUGUGCCUCUUGCACUUCGUUCCUUAUGCACUGGCAAUCACUCCCCGCCCUCAUUAGUGCCCGGGUGUCACAUACCCACCAGCUUUCGCUUGGUUCGUCCUCGAACCACACCGUACUGGGAGAAGCUAGGCUUUGAUACCAUUUGUAAAUCAUUGUGACAAAAUCCUAUCAUUUGGUGUGAGCCUGAUAGUUCCUUUUCCAACAUGGCGAUUUCUUUAUCUAUUGUGUCCAAAUAAAAUGCUUCAACUUCUUUUGUGGAUGAUAAACGUUUGGCUUCAUUAAGCCAAUUUCGCAAUUUAUCCCAAAGGUGGACUUCCUUUUCACCAGGCAUAUCUAAAUCAUGAAAAUCCUUCAAUUUGGCCGCUAUAAGAGAAGAAAUGGUAGGAUCACGUAAAUCAGCUACUAAUAAUGUCUGAUAAAUUCACCAUCAAAUAUAUGAGUAUUAACUGGCGUACAGAGGUCAAUUAAAAAAGAAAGGAACAAUGCUCAACUUUUACCUAUCAUUUACAUAUCAUUUACAUAGAACAAAGUUUUCAAACUCGAGAGUUUACGUAAAUUCGUGGGAGUUCAGUAAACUCGACUAGUAGACUCGACUCUUAAACUCGUAAGAGUUUACUUUUGUAUGAAAAAAAUAAUAUAAAUUCGUAGAAAUAUUUUCAUACAAAUAUAUUAAUUAAAAUACAUAAGUUUCGUAAAAAUAUUAUUCAUAAAAAUAUUAUAAAACAUAAAUAAAAAUAUUUUUUAUGAUUAUUGCUCUAAUAAUACUUUAAUAAUCUUCUAACAAUGACAUUAUGGAAUGAAUAAUUCCUAUUGAAUUUGAUGUAUUUGCUUCUAAAAUUUUUUCACUCAAAAGAAGUUGCAGGCCUUAAGAUUUAAAAAAACACAAACAAUAAAUUUCAUUCCUAUAAUAAAACCAUAAUUUAAUUUUUAAAUAAACCAUUUAUAUACUAAAAUAAAAAAUUUAAUAAAACGAUAUAAAUUUCAAUUUCAAUAAAAAUCAUUUACAUAAAAAUAACAGCAUAAUUAUAUAUUGUUUCUGUAAUAGAAAAAUAAAAAUUUCAAUUUCUAAUAAAAUCAUACAUGGUACAAGGUCAGGGUUGUAAUUUUAGAAUAAGAAAACUUCACUCAACAUUACUUGCGGCUCGAAGAAGGCCAAACCGGCGAGGAAGGUGGUGAGGGUGGCGGCGAGGACGGCGAUGAGUGCGACAGUUAUCGCAAACCAGGAGACGAAACGCGACCACUCACGGCGAGCGAACGAGCAACGACCACGAUCGGCAAGCGGACCAAAUGCGAUCACGAACGACGACCACGAGCGAUGAUCGGACGAAGCGAAGCUUGACCAAGAGCGACGAAGAUCAAAGGUGGAGUGAAACAAAACAAAAAUGAAGAACACUAAUCAGGUUAUUAAACCGUAAACAAGACGACUCCUCCUUUCUUCGUCUCUACCUUUUUCGAACUCGCUAAAUCGCUGUGAAAUCGCAAUUUUGAAUGAUUCCGCUGAGUCCAUGUACGAUUCUAUCGAGUUCAGUCCAAAAACGAUUUUGGUUCCGAGUUAACUCGGAAUCCAUAACUGAAAACGUAAACUCGAACGAGUUAACGAUUUAACUCGCGAGUUUGACAACCAUGUAUAGCAGGAUAAACUAUGAAAAACGGGUGUACUUUAAAGAAGUUGUGCACAAUGCGUUCAAUUAAUCUACAGUUUACAUUCAUGGACCAUAUAAUAACUAAUUUCUAGGCAAUUGGAGGAACAUCUUUAUUAGGAAAUUAUGGAGUGUGCGAGUGAGGACAAAGCACACUGGAAAGCCAAGUAUUGAUGUAUGGAGGCAGUCAAAAGUCCUUGUAAGUUGCCGGAGCGUUACACUAAUAUCAUGAACCAUGAUGAUUUAUCUACCCCGCACAUCACCAUAUUCGACGUCUGUGAUCCUAGCUAGGAUUUUCAUAGGCCAAAACAAUUUUAUUUGAAGUGUAAGUUUGAUACUGAUAAGGAAGCUUUGAUGGUUUCUCUACUAGUUUCUGUUAAAAAUAGUACAUGAAGGAGGGAGAAGAGAGCAGAAAACAGAUCUCUUAAUAUACUAAAAACUCAAGUAGAAAACUCCACGGAACUCCUAAUUGGCAAUAAAGAGAAAACUAGGGCUAAGAGUAGACAUUAUGAACCCACAAUUAGAAUUAGAUCUUUGUGAACAUAAACAAACUUACGAGCAAACUAAAAAAUACAGAAACAUUAGAUAACAACUGAAAGGUCUUAGUGGUAAACACCUAUAUGGGGGUGUUUCUCUUAAUCUCAGUGAUGGAUUCUUUCUGUGAAGAGUGAGUUUGAAAUUAAGGGUUUUGAGCUUUGAGGUUGACUAUGAAAAGUGAAGCAGUAUGAUCGUCUCAAUUUGAGGAAAUGCUCUGUUCUCAUUCUCAUUUUCUUAGAAUUGCUCUUCAAUAGGCAUAUAAUUGUUUCUUCUUGAUUAAUGACCAUUUCUUCAUUGCGUGUAUAAUGACUGAGAUUUGAGAGAUCGGUCGAGAUAUGAUUUCUUAACCUAAAAAGUUUCCAUCAUCAGAAAAGAAGCAUCCCCUUUCACAUGCAUCAUACCGCUUUAAAAUCAAAGCAACAUCUAAUGCAUAGGAAUAAAAUAUGGGUGUUGCUCCCUCCACCUCUCCAAGUGGAUCCUGUACUUCUUCACUAUUUUAAUUUAUUUCAAAAAUAUUUUACAGCUCUUUACUAUUUUCUUUUAUUCCAAAAAUAUUUUGCACCUACCCACUAUCCUUAACAAUUUUUCUCUUUCUCUCUCUCAAUUAAUGGAGCAUUUACAUGACUCAUUAAUGGAACAUUUACAUGACUUAAAUUUGAACUUGUGAUAUAUUUUUUUAAAUAAGUUUGAUUCAAUCUUAUUUUCGUUGUUGAAUAUAUUUUUUUCUUUUCAAAUUACUUAAUAAAUGNNNNNNNNNNNNNNNNNNNNNNNNNNNNNNNNNNNNNNNNNNNNNNNNNNNNNNNNNNNNNNNNNNNNNNNNNNNNNNNNNNNNNNNNNNNNNNNNNNNNNNNNNNNNNNNNNNNNNNNNNNNNNNNNNNNNNNNNNNNNNNNNNNNNNNNNNNNNNNNNNNNNNNNNNNNNNNNNNNNNNNNNNNNNNNNNNNNNNNNNNNNNNNNNNNNNNNNNNNNNNNNNNNNNNNNNNNNNNNNNNNNNNNNNNNNNNNNNNNNNNNNNNNNNNNNNNNNNNNNNNNNNNNNNNNNNNNNNNNNNNNNNNNNNNNNNNNNNNNNNNNNNNNNNNNNNNNNNNNNNNNNNNNNNNNNNNNNNNNNNUUAUUUGUUAAAGAUUUAAAAUUUAUUUAGUUCUUUCGUCAUUAUAAAGUUAGUAUAUAAUAAUAAUAAUAAUAUAUCAUUAUUUACUAUUAAUAUUAUUAUAUUUAUUAUUUUAUAUUUGCAUCUAACUUUUAAUUUUAUAAAAUGAAAAUGGUAGAAGUACUAAUAUUGAAGUUUCCUCUUAAUUUUAUAUUUGGUAGUAUAUCACAAAUUCAAAUCUGAACCAUAUAAAUGCUCCAUUAAUACAGAGAGAAAGAGAAAAAUUGUUAAGGAUAAAGGUGUAGAAUAUUUUUAGAAUAAAAAAAAAUAAUGAAGAGAUAUAGAAUAUUUUUGAAAUAAAUGAAAAUAGUGAAUAACUGGAGGAAGCAACACCCAUAAAAUAUAUGAGAAUGGGCUGAGGAUUUCUAAUAGUCGUCUUGAUAGAGGGUCACAACCUUCAUUAAAUGUUACAAAUUUGGACAGCUGGAAAAUAAGACAGGCCAACAACAAGAUAGGGAUAACUAAAGGACGAUGAUAUUUUAACAAUAUUUUUUGAUAACUUUAUUCCUUAAUUCUUUCAAUUUGGGAGAGAGGGAGACUGGGUCGUGUUUGUGGAAUGUUGAAAUGUAAAAUGGUUUGGGAGUAAAGAAAGUAAGAGGAAAGAAUGAGGUAGCUUCGUGGGAGAAGUGAGAAGAAGUGCUUCCAUAGCUUUCAUUUAUGAGAGAGAGGGCUGUGAGGGAACUGAGAAGAAGUGUGAGAAUGGAUGAUAAACAUACUCACAUACACACCUCUCCCCUUGCCUUCGCACUUACCGUCUCUUGCUUCUUCUGCAUCGCUUUGCCACAUUCCCACUCUCAACCAUCGCCACCGCCAUCGUCACCUCCACCGCCACGGCCACCGCUUUGUGCUGAGCAGUCAUACAAGUGCACCAUAAUGGUUUCCCACAUCUUGGAUCCUGUCUGGAAACAGAUUCCUCCCUCUCAGUGUAUCGGCGCCGACCCAUCACCCCAGCUCAGCUGCUCUGCUCCUUAUGAAUCUCAAAAUUUCACACUGAAGACGUUCGACAACACCACUCACACCAUGACGUUGGUGCCAACACACACUGUCAAUGAUGUUUGUUCUCCUGAUUUUUUUCACAUUUACGACAACUUGAACAACAGUCUGUUACAAUAUUACGAGUCAGCGCACAAAGUCAUCGUAUUCUUCGAUGGUUGUCCUCUCGAUAUCCCAUAUUUUCCUUUAGAACACAGAUUUAAAUGCGAGGAUACUGUUUACUAUUUUGUGGAGGAGGAUGAGAUGUUGUACACACCCACAUCGCUUCUGGAUUGCAAGAAAAGUUUGGUCGUGCCCACUGCCUCUAGUCUCGAUGAUUAUGAUAAUAAAGAUGGUGGAGCUGAAGUUCUGAAAGAAGCUCUGAGGGAUGGGUUUCAGGUCUACUAUAGUCCUCCUCAACACUGUAGAGGAUGCGACCAAAUUAACGCAAAUUGCUGGACCGGUGGUUAUGAGGUAGAUGUAGUUUCAUGCACCUCACUUAUCAGAGAAAGUGACGAAGGUUGCUCAUCAUAUGAUUAUGGUUAUGUUUCAUGCAACUACUAUUGCCCAACUCAAUACUGUUCUCCCAAAAGCAAAAGCAGUGGUAUUACUUCUCUCCUCUCAUAUAUAUCUUACAUAUCAUUCCCACAAAAUCUUCUUUUUAGCUAAUCUCUUCCCAUUCUCCUUCUUUAAUCUAUUACUAUCGUUUAACCAACACAACUUUGAAUUAUAAAGUUUGUCAUUCAAACCUAAUAUUGAAUAUUUCUGUGCUAUAUUCAAACCUAAUAUUCAAUAUAGUAGUAGUGUUUGUUUAUCAAGUUAUGGAUAUAUUAGUGUUGCGAGGGACUUUACCUAUAAUUUUUUAUCACACCCUUUGUUCUCUUUUUCUUUUGUUUUUCGUCUGCCUCUACCAGUAAUCAUUAAGAAAAAGAAAUUUUUUUCAAUAUUAAUAUAUUUUAAAAUAAAAAUUGAAGCUUAUCUAAGAUAAAAGAAAAAUACGAUUGGUUAACUAAAUAGUAUCACACAAUUCGUUAUCGUUUAUAUUUGCGAUUUUAAUUUUCAAGUUAAAGAAAAUUUCAUCCCUAAAUUUUACCAUUUUCUAUAAAUUCAAACCACAAAAUCUAAUUUUCUUAAUUGAUUUUCAAAUUUUAUCCAAUCUAUAAAUAAGCACAUUAUUUUAAUUUUUUUCUAAAUAAUUCUUAAAUUGUUAUCUUUAUUUUAUAUAUACACACCUAAAACUUUAAUAUUAUUAUAAUUAUUUCUUUACGUAUAUCUUUUUAUAAAUAAACUUUAUGUUAAAUAUUUUUAUUAAACUGCUGCUGGUAUUAUUAAUAUUUUUUAACUCAAAGUUUUCAAUAUAUUAUUUACAAAAACGUACUUAGUCUUAAAAAAUAAUUACAACAAUUUUAAACUUUUAGGUACUUAUUAAAAAAUUAAGAAUUAUAUAUAUAUAUAUAUAUAUAUAUAUAUAUAUAUAUAUAUAUAUAUAUAUAUAUAUAUAUAUAUAUAUAUAUACGUUUUAGAUCAAUCACGAUAAAAUUUAAUAAGUACCUAAAAGUAUAAUAAUAUUUAACAUAAAGUUUAUUUAUAAAAAGUACCUAAAAGUUUUUGAUAAGAUCAAUCAUAAAGUUUAUUUAAAGGAAAAUAAAAUUUUAACACUAUUUUUUGACAUCAUUUUGACACUGCACACGUGUCAAAAUGUGAUUGGACGAUUUUAAAUUAAAAAAGUUGAGACAAGGAUAUAUUUGGAAGAGAAAAACCAAAGUUUGUUUUUUUAAUUUGAAAUCGUCCAAUAACAUUUUGACAUGUGUACAGUGUCAAAAUGAUGUCAAAAAAUGGUGUCAAAAUAUCAUUUUCCAAUUGAUGCUGAAACCAAAUCGUCCAAUUAUUCUGGUUUUCUCUUUACAAAUAUUACUUGAUUUUAGCACAUUUCUCUUUACAAUUUACAUAUUCCUCAUGUUUUUUCUUACACAUCUUUACUCAAAAAAUAACUGGAAGGUUUUUCAGUUACUAGCUUUUGUUGACUUGAAUGCACAUUUUUCCAGGUCUUGCUGUGCUUUUCUCUCUUGGUCCCCACAAUUAUUAGCUGGUUGUUCUGUUUUCUUUCACUUGACCCAGUCAACAAGAAAAUCAUUAAUUAUUAUGCUUUAAAAGAUAAUCAGUUAUGUUAAAAGUUAUAUAAUCUGAAUGAUUUGAUACAAGAAAAUUUGACAAAGUAGUAUGUCUCCAUCGUCUUUAAAAUUAGUUUACCUUUUCUCAUUUAACAAAAUUACAUAUAUCAUUCCACCUCUCCUCCUCUGGAAAAUAAAUCAUCAGUUAUCACUUCUUAUUUUUUGAGUAAUUUUCGUUUACAAAUAUGUGUUUGUAAUCUGUUUAUAAUGCUUAGAUUUUCACGUACUAUUCCAGGAAUUGGUGUUGUUGUUUCGGGAAAUAAGCUAUGCCUAAACUUUUAAGCACUAGAUUUUUAAACAAGAACUGAAGAUCAUGCAUCUCUUUGUAUUACAAUUUUCGAAAUCAAAUUGUUUUGAUUUGUGUUAAGAAAAUAAGUACAGUUCAUAGAGUGAUUCCUUUGGAUUUAGUUCUCUAGUUUGAACAGAGGUUUAUAAUCUAGAAUAAGCAUUUGAAUACUGUAAAAUGAUAGUAAGUUUUAAUGUUGAAAUCCAACGUAUAAUAUAAGAUUUAAAAUGUAAUUUAAUGAUGAGAAAAAUAUACACUAAGGUAGAAAAUUCGUUUUUAUUGCACCCAAAUGCUUCUUUCCUCUGCCAUAAAUUUUAAGAUUGCGCUGCAAAGUGAAGUAGAAAGAUAUUGUAAUUCCUCUUCCAAAAGGUAGGUGACUGUAAAAGUAGAUAUAAUGUUUUCAUUUUAUCUGAACAAUAUUUCAACAAAAUUUUCACCAAUAUUAGGAAUCUGAUGAAUUCCUCUUUCCUCAUCUACUUUUGCAGGAAACCAAAAGCGGAAACUCAUUAUUUUUGGUAAAUCUAAAUUUCCUUUUAUACUUUCCCACGUUCACUAGUUCCUGAAAUAUUUAUGACACGCUAUUUUCUUGUGCUUCUCUCUCAUGUAUUCAUAAUUAUAUAGUCCUAAUCAAGGAAAAACAAUAUUUAUGUGUACUCUCUCUGAUCAAUUUAAAUUAUCUUAAUAGUUUCCACUAAAUAUUUCAUAUCGAUCUCUAAUAAAUUUUCAUAGAGUUGAAAUGAUUAAAGUUUGUUUAUAUUUAAAUCCACUACAUAACUCUUAUUUAUAUUUGAGAUUAGAAGAAGAUUAGAGAUUGAAAACAUUUCCCAUAAACAGCUGUCCCUAUUUUAUCUGCUAACAGGUGUUACAGGUUCAGCAAUUGCAGCAGUGUUGAUAUCAAUUUCAAUUUUGUGUGUAAGAUACAAGUCACCAACCUGGCAAGCAAAUUUUGGCUUCGCUUCAAAAAGUAAUCAAAAUAUUGAAACAUUCCUUAAAAGUCAUGGCCCUCUAGCUCUGAAAAGAUAUAAACUAUCAGAUCUCAAGAAAAUGACCAACAACUUUAGAUUAAAGCUUGGACAAGGUGGUUUUGGUGCAGUGUACAAAGGAAAGUUAUGCAAUGGUACUCUUGUGGCUGUAAAGAUGUUGAGUGCAUCAAAAAACAAUGAUGAAGAAUUUAUGAAUGAGGUUGCUAGCAUCAGUAGAACUUCUCAUGUUAACGUNGUCUCUCUUCUUGGAUUUUGUUUGAAAGGUCACAAGAGAGCUCUCAUCUAUGAAUUCAUGUCCAAUGGUUCCCUUGACAAAUUCAUUUACACAACAAGAGACGGAACCCUUUCAGCCUUGAGUUGGGAUAUUACAUAUCAAAUUGCAAGGGACAUAGCUNNNNNNNNNNNNNNNNNNNNNNNNNNNNNNNNNNNNNNNNNNNNNNNNNNNNNNNNNNNNNNNNNNNNNNNNNNNNNNNNNNNNNNNNNNNNNNNNNNNNNNNNNNNNNNNNNNNNNNNNNNNNNNNNNNNNNNNNNNNNNNNNNNNNNNNNNNNNNNNNNNNNNNNNNNNNNNNNNNNNNNNNNNNNNNNNNNNNNNNNNNNNNNNNNNNNNNNNNNNNNNNNNNNNNNNNNNNNNNNNNNNNNNNNNNNNNNNNNNNNNNNNNNNNNNNNNNNNNNNNNNNNNNNNNNNNNNNNNNNNNNNNNNNNNNNNNNNNNNNNNNNNNNNNNNUUGUCAGAUGCUAGAGGAACAAUGGGGUAUGUAGCUCCAGAGAUGUGGAGCAGAAAUCUUGGAAGAGUUUCGCAUAAGUCUGAUGUUUAUAGUUACGGAAUGCUGCUGCUAGAGAUGGUUGGAGGGAGGAAGAACAUCAAUGAUGAAGCAAGUCAUACAAGUGAGAUAUACUUCCCACACUGGGCAUACAAUAAGCUUGAGUUGGACAAUGAUUUGAGACCAGAUAUGGAGAUGACAACAGAAGAAAAUGAGAUUGCAAAGAGGUUGGCGAUGGUGGGUUUAUGGUGUACUCAAACGUUUCCUAAUGACAGACCUACAAUGAGCAGAGUGAUUGAUAUGUUGGAAGGCAGCAUGGAUUCCUUACAAAUCCCUCCCAAACCCUUCCUUUCUUCUCCCACUAGAUCACUGUCGGAAUAUUCCAUCUCCUGAAAUUAAGCACACUGCAUAUUUGAUAAAUUUGCCGACUUAUAUUAUAAAAUGAAUCGCUCUGUAUAAUUGUUAGCUCUUUCCUACUAUGGUUUGGGGUCUACUAUGGUUUUCCUCAAGAUUGCAGAAGAUGCAGCUAAAGUAACGGAAGUUGCAGCAGAGAUGNUGGUAACGAUGAAUACGUAGUUUCAUGCAAAUAUAUAUUAUUGCACACACAAACACUGUUCUCCUCGUAAUAGUAGCAGUACGUCUUCCAUUCCUCUUUCUUUUUUCUUUUUUUUCCAUUUUCCUCUCACNUGAGGAAGUUUUUGUGCUAUAUUGCAAUGUAAUCUAGUGUAGUGCUUGUUUAUGAAAUUAUUGAUAUAUAAUUUUCAGCAUGAAGAUAAAUGAUAUAUCUUGUUUGUUUUUGUUUUUACUUUAUAANCUUGCGAGUGACAUUAGCUAUAAUUUUUAGUCAAAUUUUUGUUCUCGUACAUCUGCCUGUCCAGUAAUCACUCCAGAACAGGAAAUUUUGUCAUGGAUAAUAUAUUUGCUAAUGUAAUAUUUUUUAACUACAGAUUAAAACUUGACUCAGAUUAUAUAUAUAUAUAUAUAUAUAUAUAUAUAUAUAUAUAUAUAUAUAUGACUUGUAUCUUAAGCUUAAUAGACUUGUGAUGUGAUAUUAAUUUUCAAGAGGGAAAAGAAAAUUUAAUAAACAUUUUAGAUAGACCUCAAAAUUUAAUCGUCUUCAUUGAUAUUUCAAAUUUUAUCUAAUCUAUAAAUAAACAUCUUNAGUGUUAAUUUUGUUCUAAUUAAUUCUAAAAGUUUUAUAAUUUUUUUAUAAAUAUACACCCAAAUGUUUAUUCUGGUAUAAUUAUUUCUUAAAGAUAUUGUUAUUUUAUUGAUAAACUCAUUUAAGUUAAAUAACUUUUAUUAACUUAUUAUUGUUAUUACGACAAUCACGAGUAUUAUUAUUUAACUCAAGUUCUCAAAUAAUUAUUUACAAAUAAAUUACUUAGUUUUAAAAAAUAAUUAUAAAAAAAAUAAAAUUUUAGGUAUUUAUUAAAAAAUAAAAUUUAAGAAUUAAUUGGAAAAGAACUAAAAUUCAGAAUAUCUAUUUAUAUAUGGGUAACGUUUAAGAUCAAUCAAGAAAAAAAUAAAUUUUAUCAUAUUUGUUUUUAUUUAUAAAUAAAAGUAAAAUUUAGAUGAUUAUAUCUUGAAAUAAUUUAUAAUUAUAAUUAUAAUUAUAAUUUUUUAGAUGAUAAGUUUUCUAUUUUAAAUAUUAUUAUAAAAUAUUUUAUUUUAUUAAUUUUAUACAACUAAAAUAAGAUUAUAUAUUCAAUAUUAUCCUUUAAUAAGUAUUAAUAAGACAUUGAUGUUAAUAUUUUAAAACGUCAAAACUAAUGUUUAUCUCUAUUUAUUUUAAGAGCACAUUAGAAAGGCCAAAUUCAAUGUCAUCUCCCUUCGUCCAUCAAAUCCUUACUCCUCCUUCGUCUUGGAAGAAACAAGAUUAAUCUAUCAUUUUUCAUCUUCUUAAAUACUAAAUACUCUAAAGUAAACAAAGCAUAAGUCUUAGUUUUAUUCCAACUAUGUACUGUUGCGGUAUAGAAAAACACUGCCUCAAGUGAAGAAAAGAAGAGAAAGUCAAUAUAGCAUAACAACUUAGAGGAUAUAUAUAGCACAAUAUAUCUUAUUUUACAAGUUAAUUUUAAUUUUGUAAAGUUGAUUUAAUCUUAAAAUCUAUUUUUUAAUAGAGUUUUUACUAAAAGAUAAUUUUUUAUGAUUGUAGAAAUGUUUAUUUCUCUCUUUAUAUAUAAUAAGAUUUUAUAAUUAUUAUAUGUAAAAAUAAUAUAAUAAUAUAAAUAACAAUAACUCAAAGGUACGAAGAUACUCUGAUUUUAAUGAUUAAUGCAAAUUAAAUGUUAUCACUUAUGUAUCUAUCUCAAAAUAUAUUAUAAAUUUUGUAAAGAAUAUCGAAUUAAUUAUAGACUCACUUGAUAAUAAUUAUAUUUUAUUAUAAGUUAAUCAAUAUUAGAUCUAAUUGUUUUCUGUAAAGUAAUUGUUCUAUGUGAGUCACAACCACUCGUUUAAUGACAACAAUUACACUAGCUCAUGAAGUGUUUAAUAGCUUAAACCGCUAACAUUAAUGUUAAACGGGACAAUCAUGCGAUACAUUUAUUAUAACAAUAAUUUCGUCAUUUUAUAAUUUUAUAUAUUAAAAGAAUUUUGUUACUAUCUGUAUCAAUUAAAUUAUUCAUAUGCUUUUAAAAACUUUCUUUUCAUUUUUAUUCAUUCCUUGAUUUCUUUUUUCUAAUCUAAAGAAUCUCACUUUAACCUCACCUCUUUUCUUUCAAAUUCACUUUUUCACAUGCAUUCUCCAAUCAAAACAUUAGAAGAAAAGUAAAGGUUUCCAAAACAACAUAUAAAUUGAACACAUUAAUAUGCAUUUUAUAUUAAAAUAAAUAAUUAAUUAAAUUAAUUAAAAACAAUUUUUUUUAUUUAAAUGAAACUAUAUAUAAUAAUUUUUGAAUUAUGACUAAAAUUAUUAUUAAUAUAAAUGUUAUAUUAAUAUUUUUUAUUAAAAAUAUUUUUUUAACCGAUUAUAUUAUUGUGUAUUAUUAGUUCAUAGUUUUUUAAUAAUAGUUUUUAUCACUGAAUUUCAAUAUAAAUAUUAUUAUAAUAUUUAUAUAAAUAAUAAAUUUAAUUUCAAUUAAAAUACGACAAAUUUAUUAUUUGUAUAAAUAAUAUUAAUUUAUUUAUUUUUAUAAAACAAUAUAAAUUAAUAAUAUUUUAGUUUUAAAUAUUUUUUUAAAAAUAUUUAUACUUAAUUAGUUUUGAUUUUAAAAAAACAUAAUUAACAAAAUUUAUAGAAAUAUUAAAUUUUUUCUAUAUUAUUUCAUUUAAAAAAUAAAAACUAAAUUUAAAAUAUAUAUAUAUAUAUAUAUAUAUAUAUAUAUAUAUUAAAUUAAAUUAUGACAAACAACAAUUGAUAUAUAUAUUUAGAAGUGUCAUUUUUUUUUCACAAGGUGUCACAUGUAAUACCAAAAACUUAAUACAUGACAAUAAAAGAUUUUGUUAAAAUUUUUUAAUUUAUAAAUUAACGCGUAACCCUAUCAUUAACAUUAUUAAUAAUUUUUCUUAAAUAAAUUAAAUUGAGACACGACACCAUUAAAUUCUUUUUAAAAGCAAACUUGAACUUAAUACUUUUCCACCUUAUACUAAAGAUAAUAAAGAGUGGAUAAAAUCGCAGAGGUAUGAGGGGUGGUGACAAAAAUUGCUUCAGUAGCUUUGAUUUAUGAGAGAGAGAACUGAGAAAAAGUGUGAGAAUGGAUGAUAAACAUAGUUCCCAUGCCUUCGAACUCACAGUCUCUUUGUUACUCUUCAUCGCUUUGCCAUACUCCCACUCUCAACCACCGCUCUGUGCCCAGCAGCUAUACAGGUGCAACUGGAACGUUUCCGCCAUCUUCGAUCCUCGGCUUUUGUACGGAAAUAGGCAGAUUUGACUGCCAAAUUACGAAAAUAGACAAAAAUGGAAGAAAUUACAGAAAUGGGGAAGUCGUCUGGGGCAGAACGACUUCAUAAGAAGAAGUCGUGCCCCCCCUGCACGACUUCACACUGUAGUGAAGUCGUGCACCUCUAAAACGAUUUCUGGACUCUUAAUCGAUCACCAGGAGCUGUAAUCGAUUACAGCUUGUUAAAAUCGUGUCCCCCUGCACGACUUCAGCAUUAUAGGAAAAAAUGGGCCUGGUAAUCAAUUACAGACCCCUUGUAAUCGAUUACCAGGUGUUUUUUAAGUGGUAACAGCCCCUGUAAUCGCUUACCAGGGUGUGUAAUAUGGAAAAAUGGCCCUAGUAAUCGAUUACAGACCCCUUGUAAUCGAUUACCAGAGUUAUUUGAUUGUUGAAAAUCAUUUUUAUGAGGUGUUAUUGAAGUUUUGAUUAUGUUUUUUGUGUUAGACAAAUAAGAUAUUGUGGUCUUUACAAUUUAAUUAAUAAAAGAAGGAAAUUAAAAUGUAAGACAAUUUGAUAUGAAAUAUUAAAAGUAGUAGAUUUAUUAUUGAUUGGAUUACAAAAUUAACUAGUGACGAAAUGGACAAUUUCCCCUAUGAUGACCUUGGUUGCGACAGUAAGAGCAUUUUCUGGGCUGAUCCGGAGUGGAUUCAUCCAUCUCAUUAGGAAUCCUUUUUGUAGACGGUCUUCCGGAUGCCUUGCGCCGCGUAUGAGGAUCUGGUAUGAAGUUUGGACCUGUAUACGCAGACCAAUAAUCUUCAUUUUGGAUUGGGUGAAAUUGUACUUCGUAUGNCUUGUAAAUGUUAUUAAGGGUAUACACUGGAUCGAUUACUUGGGUUAGUGGUAUAUGCGAACUUGCACAAACUGCAAUGACAUGAUGACAUGGGAGACGAGUAGCUUGGAAGUGACCACAAUCACACCACCAUUCAUUUAGCCUGACCUUAUAGGAAAUUGGAUGUGGGCGAUAUUGGUGAGGUGUUGAUAUUUCUUGAACAUCAAAUUCUGAAUUUUCACGGUUGUAGCGAUGAACAUGACAAUAUGNUGAUUGUUGUUGAUUUUUCCUAAUAAUGUCAGCGAUUUCUUCAGGAAAUUGGUGGCCUGCUUGUAGCAUGUACUGUGCUCUUAGUCCUCGUUCAAGAAACCAGGAUUNUGUCCUCUCAAAUGUUGUUUUGAUGAGUGCACAAAUUGGUAAUGANCGUGCUCCCUUUAAAACUGAGUUCAUGCACUCAGCUAGAUUAGUGGUCAUAUGUCCAUAUCUUCUCCUUCCAUCAAAAGCUUGAGACCAUUUAUUUAAUGGAAUUUUAUCUAUCCAAGCAACUUGUUGUGGGUAAUGGUGUCUUAGUGCAGUAAGUUUUGCCGUAACAAUAGGUUGCUUGACCUCAUAAGCUAUAAGGAUGUAGUAAUUUUGUACAGUUAUGUUAACUGAAUAUAAACAGUAAAUUUGUAGGAAAAAAAUUUAGUAGUACCUAAAUUGAUGAAUUGCUUUUUGAGGUCGUGAUUUUUGAAUUUGUUGUUGAAGUUNGAGGCUAAAUGACGUAUGCAAUAAACAGAGUUCAAACCAUCUUCCUCCCAACCAACUUCUUCUGAUCUUAGGGCGGANAAGAUACCCUUUCCUCUGUCAGUGAUGAUGCAAAUAUUUGGUUGAGGGCAAAGAUGUUCUCGAAUUAGUUGAAAGAACCAUAUCAUGGCCUCCUUUGUCUCACCUUCAACAAUUGCAAAUGCCAUAGGAAAAAGAUUUUUAUUGCCAUCCAUUUCAUUUUAUUUCCUUUUCAAAUAAUACAACCAAAAUUAAUUUUUAUGCAAAAAACCCCCUGGUAAUCGAUUACACUUACCUAGUAAUCGAUUACCAGACAUUUAAUGCCAUCCCACUACCAGAGCCCUGGUAAUCGAUUACGCUAAUCAUGUAAUCGAUUACCAGCGGUCGCUUGUAAUCGAUUACACCAAUCCUGUAAUCGAUUACAAGCGAAACCCUACCCUAUAAAAUCAACUUUUUCUCUCUCAUAACCCACACCCAAACCCUAUCUCGCGCAGCAGCCCCCAUUUCCACCAUUGGAGCACCUCAAAAACGUCCUAAAUCCCAUCUUUUCCUACUAUUUUCAAUUUUAAACAUCAUUUUCACAUUCUACUCUCCAUUCUCUUCAAUUUUCACCGAUUGAAAUUUUGAAAUGGCGGAUUCUUCGAAGAGGCAAAGGGUUAGGGGCUCAUCUUCUACAGCGGCGGGACGUCGCCACCGUCAACCUUCACCGGUCGAAAGCUCGCCGUCACUCUCACCACCACCGUCACCAACUGAAUCGGACCUAAUUCAUCAAUUUUCGACCCCUGAACUGGCGGAAAGGUAUUUCACCCUUUUCUGUGACCGUGAGGUCAUUGAACAAAAAUAUCUUGACCAAGAAUAUUUCGAGACCCAAAAUCUGGAAUUUUACAACAUGCUGACAAAUCUAAACUUGCUUGAUUUUGUCUCUGAUGCUCCACACUAUUAUCCUGAUUUGGUCCGAAUUUUUUAUAGUAAUCUGAAAAUUUCUGAUAAUGGAACCAUUAAGACUGAGGUUAAGAAGGUUCCAAUCAUUAUCAAACCCAGUCUAUUGGCUUCCAUAGCCAACCUACCCUCUGCUGGAUUGAGUUUUGAAGGAAAAAUUCUUGAUCAAUGGGUGGAUGAAUACAGCUUGAACGCAGCAAAAAAAUUGAUACUUUUGCCAGGGAAACCUCAAGUUGGUAGAAUUACUGCCGGAUCCAUGACAGUUAAUGCUAGAAUAUUGCAUUAUAUUAUCACUCGUAUUUUUUUGCCACGUGUUUCUAACAUUGCACAGGCUUUUGAAGAAGAUGUAAUCUUGUUGUGGAUUAUUAUGACGGGGAAGCACAUCAACUGGACCCAUCUCAUUCGACAAAAGAUGAAGAAGGCGUUCAUGGAAAAUGCUCCUUUACCAUAUGCAUUUUUUAUCACCCGUAUCUUGGAACAUUUUGACAUUCCAUUGGAUGAUGAAAUUCCUGGCCCCCGAACAAGGCAAAUGCGGAUAUCGCGUGGAUCACUCGAUUCCUUUGGAUUUAAGCAAGAUGCUAACGACAUAUGGGUUCUGAAAAAUGCUCCCCGUCCUUCUCAAGGCCAAAGUGCAGCACCUCCUCAACAACAACCACCACCACCGCGCAUUCUUCACACUCAAACUUCUUCAUAUGAUGACUUGAUGAGGGGGAUCAAUGAUCUUANAACAUUUGUGGGGGACANCUUCAACACNAUGAAUGAAAACAUNAAUNCAAGACUUGAACANCUCGAGAUCAACAUGGGAGACCGNUUCGAUACAUUGGAAACUCGAGUNGAUCAUUUAGAGCAUGAGGUUCUGCGUCGUCAUUUUGGUCCACAUGGUGGACCUUCCUCUUAGAUACUUAGUAGUAUUAUUGUCCUUAUUUUAAGUUUUUCUANUUAUGUAAUGCAUUUUCAAUUCAAUAAAAUACNUCAACUUUNAUUUCCAAGUUUGUCUUUUAAUUUCCAUUUGUAAUUUCAAACAAUAAAAUUACUCUAUCGAAACAUAACAAUGUCAUAACAAAAAUUAAAUAAUUGCACCUAUAUUGGUACUCUACAACACAAAAAAAAUGAGUCAUUUACUCUGGUAAUCAAUUACAAGGGGUCUAUAAUCGAUUACUAGGGCCAUUUUUUCCUAUAAUGCUGAAGUCGUGCAGGGGGGCACGAUUUUAACAAGCUGUAAUCGAUUACAGCUCCUGGUAAUCGAUUACAGAGUCCAGAAAUUGUUUUAGGGGUGCACGACUUCACUACUGUUCAUGUGAGCAGUGUGAAGUCGUGUAGGGGGGGCACGACUUCUUCUUAUGAAGUCGUUCUGCCCCCAGACGACUUCCCCAUUUCUGUAAUUUCCCCCUUUUUGCCUAUUUUCGUAAUUUGGCAGUCAAAUCUGCCUAUUUCCGUACAAAAGCCUCGAUCCUCCCUGGGAAAAGAUUGCACACUCUCAAUGUAACGGCCCCAACAAAUCAUCCCUGCUCAACUGCCAUGCUCAUCAUGAAUCUCAAAAUUUCACAGUGAAGGAUAUCGACAACCCCACUCACACCAUGAAAGUGAUGCCAAGACCCCCUGUCAACCAUGUCUGUUCUCCUUACUUUUUUCUCGAUUACGAGAACUUCAACAACACUCUGUUCCUGUAUAACGCGCUAAUGCAUAAAAUCAUCAUAUUCAAAGAUUGUCCUACAACCUCAGAUUUCCCUUCAAAAUGCAAGUUUAAAUAUGGGGAUGAUGUGUAUUAUUUUGAGGAGGAACAGAACAAAAAGGAGAUGCUCGACAAUUACCCACUGCUUGAGGAUUGCAAGGGACGUUUCGACGUGCCUGCUGCUGGUCCUCUGGAUCGUUACGAUGACACUGGUGACGGAGCUGGAGUUCUGGAAGAAGCUCUCAGUGAUGCGUUUGAGGUCAAAUAUGGUAUUCCUGAUGGUUGCACAAGAUGCAGAGAAACUGACAGAAGCUGCUUGACAAAUGAUUAUGGUUAUGGUUAUAAUGAAUAGGAAAAACUUCUUUUAACAACACUUUUUUAACAACUUUUUGACAACGCAUACGUGGCAGUUUGUGAUCGGUCCGUUUUAAAUAUUUUUUAAACAUAAAUUCAAAUAGACCAAUAAAAUGAUGACAUAUGUCCCGUUGUCAAAAAGUAUUGUUAAAAUAUCUAGUUUCAUGCAACUAUUACCCAAAUGAACAGUGUCCUCCCAAAACAAGUAAGAAGUCUUCUCUCUCUCUUUUCUUUUUUUUGUUGUGCAUCUCUCUCACUCAGUAAUCAAUAUUAAGAAUAGGAAAAUUUUUCAUUAUUAAUAUAUUUUAAAAUAAAAAUUGAAGCUUAUCUAAGAAAAAAAAAAUUAUGACUUGGAAACUAUGUAGUAUCACACGAGUCAUUAUGAUUAUAUUUGUAAUUUUAAAUUUCAAGUAAAUGAAAAUAUAAUCCCCCAAAUUUACCAUUUUCUAUAAAUAUUCAGACAUCAAAAUCUAAAUUUCUUAAUUCAUUUUCAAAUUUUAUCCAAUCUAUAUAUUUUUAAUUUUGUUCUAAUUAAUUGUUAUCUUUAUUUUAUAUAUAUACACCUAAACAUUAAUUUUAUCAUACUUAUUUCUUAAUGUAUAUUUCUUAUAAAUAAACUUCUUUAUGUCAAAUAUUUUUAUUAAACUGCUAAUGCUGGUGUUAUUAUUAUUUUUUAACUCAAAGUUUUCAAAAUAUUAUUUACAAAAAAAAAUUACUUAGUCUUAAAAAAUAAUUAUAACACAAUUAAACUUUCAGGUAUAUAUUAAAAAAUUUAAGAAUUAAUUGAAACAAAAUUAAAAAUCAAUAUAUAUAUAUAUAUAUAUAUAUAUAUAUGUAUGUAUAUACAUAUAUAUAGAAUAAAGUUUUAGAUCAAUCAAAAUAAAAUAAAAUUUUAUGAUAUUUUUAUCUAUAAAAAAACAAAACUUCAGAAGCUUAAAUGUGCUUUUUCCCUGUGAAUAAUCUUUAGUUUCUCGGCUUAUUCAUUUUUUUUUCUACAAAAUUGGUGCUGAAACCAAAUCAUCCAAUUAUUCUGGGGUUCUCCCUCAUAGCCACAAAUAUUACUUGAUUUUAUUUCUCUUUACAAUUUUAGCUUACACAUUUACUAAAAAAUAACUGGGAGAUUUUUCAGUUACUUGCUUUUGUUGACCAGACUCUGAAGUUGACUGCAUAUUUUUCCAGGUCUUCCUGUGCUUUUGGUUCCUACAUUUAUUGGUGGUUGUUCUGUCUUGUUUCACUUGACCCAGUCAACAUGAAAAUAUUUAAUUAUUAAGUGCAGUGGAAAUAUAUAAAAGAUAAUCAAUUAUGUUAAAGUUAUAUAUAAUCUGAAUAAUUUGAUAAAACAAAAAUUGACAAGGAAGUAUGUCUCCAUCGUCUUUAAAAUUAGUUUUCCUUUUCUCAUUUAACAAAAUUACAUAUAUCAUCCCAUCUUGUUUCUCCUCCUCUGAAAAAUAAAUCAUCAGUUAUCCCUUCUUAUUUUUUGAGUUAUUUUCGUUUACAAAUAUGUUUGUAAUCUGUUUAUAAUCCUUAAACUUUCACGUAUUCUUCCAUGAAUUGGUUUUGUUGUUUCGGUAAAUAAGCUAUGCCUAAAUUUUAAGCACUAGAUUUUUAAACAAGAAUUGAAGAUCAUGCAUCUUUGUAUUAGAAUUGUCAAAAUCAAAGUGUUUUGAUUUGUGUUAAGAAAAUAAGUACUCAGUUCGUAGAAUGAUUACUUUGGAUAUUUAGUUAUUUAGUUUGAACAGUUUUAUAAUGUAGAAUAAGCAUGUGAAUACUGUACAAUUAUAGUUAGUUUUAAUGUUGAAAUCCAACGUAUAAUAUAAGAUUUAAAAUGUAAUUUAACAAUGAGAAAAUUAAACCCAUGAGGGAGAAAAUUCGCUUCUAUUGGACCCAAAUGCAUCUUUCCUCCGUCAUAAAUUUUAAGAUUGCCCUGUAAAGUGAAGUAGAAAGAUAGAAUAACUGUAAAAUGAUAGAGUUUUACAUUCAUUUCACCAAAAAAUAUAAAAUAAAAUGGUUAUAAAAAUAUAAAAUUUUUGUAUUUCUUUAAGAAAAGAAGAGAGAGAAAAAGUAAAUAAAAAUAGUGUCAAAUAAAUAUAAAAUAUUUAUGUGUGUCAAAAAAUAUUUUUCACAAAAAUAUUGUAAUUCCUUUUUUAUUUCAACAAAAUUUUCACCAAUAUUUGGAAUCUGAUGAAUUCCUCUUUUUUCAUCUACUUUUGCAGGAAUUUGGGACACAAAGAGGAAACUCAUUGUUUUAGGUAAUAAAUUUAAAUUUCUUUUUAUACUUUCCCGUUCACUAGUUCCUUGAAUAUUUAUGACACAUACACUAUUUUCUUGUGUUUCUCCCUUAUCUCUUCAUAAUUGUACAGUCCUAAUCAUGUAAAAAAAAAAUUACGUGUAUUCUCUCUGAUCAAUUUAAAUUAUCUUAUUAGUUUCCAUUAAAUAUUUGUUAUCGAUCUCUAAUAAAUUUUCAUAGAAUUGGAAAAAUUAAAGUUUGUUUAUAUUUAACUUCACUAACCAUAGCUCUUUCUUGAGAAUAUUAGAGACUGAAAACAUUCCUCCAAAGUAAAAUGGUCACAGCUGUCCCUAUUUAACUGCUAACAGUUGUUACAGGUUCAGCAAUUGCAGCAGUGUUGAUAUUAUUUUCAGUUCUGUGUGUAAGAUACAAGUCACCAACAUGGAAAGCAAAUUUUGGGUUGGCUUCAAAAAGUAAUCAAAAUAUCGAAGCAUUCCUUAGAAUUCAUGGCCCUCUAGCUCUGAAAAGAUAUAAACUAUCAGAUGUUAAGAAAAUGACCAAGAACUUCAGAGUAAAGCUGGGACAAGGUGGAUUUGGUGCAGUGUACAAGGGAGAGUUAUCCAAUGGUAGUUUUGUGGCUGUAAAGAUGUUGAGUGCUUCCAAAAAAAAUGUUGAAGAACUUGUGAAUGAGGUUGCUAGCAUAAGUAGAACUUCUCAUGUUAACGUUGUCUCUCUUCUUGGAUUUUGUUUGAAAGGUCCCAAGAGAGCUCUCAUCUAUGAAUUCAUGUCCUAUGGUUCCCUUGACAAAUUCAUUUACACAACAAGAGAUCAAACCCUUCCACCCUUGUCUUGGAAUAUUAUAUAUCAAAUCGCAAGGGACAUAGCUCGAGGCUUAGAAUACUUGCAUAAGAGAUGCAACACUCGAAUUUUUCAUUUUGACAUAAAACCACAUAACAUUCUUCUGAAUGAGAACUUCUGUGCAAAGAUAUCAGAUUUUGGGUUGGCAAAACUGUGCCCUAGGAAUGGAAGUAUCCUUUCCCUGUCAGAUGCUAGAGGAACAAUGGGGUAUGUAGCUCCAGAAAUGUGGAGCAGAAAUUUUGGAAGAGUUUCGCAUAAGUCUGAUGUUUAUAGUUAUGGAAUGAUGCUGCUAGAGAUGGUUGGAGGAAGGAAGAACAUUAAUGCCGAAGCAAGUCAUACAAGUGAGAUAUACUUCCCACACUGGGCAUACAAUAAGCUUGAGUUGGAGAAUGAUUUGAGACCAGAUAUGGAGAUGACAACAGAAGAAAAUGAGAUUGCAAAGAGGUUGGCAAUGGUGGGUUUAUGGUGUACUUAAACGUUUCCUAAUGAUAGACCUACAAUGAGCAGAGUGAUUGAUAUGUUGGAAGGUAGCAUAGCAUGGAUUCCUUACAAAUCCCACCCAAACCUUUGCUUUCUUCUCC